CGUCGCAACAACCUCAGACGGCUCGCUCCGCUCGUCGCCGCCCGCCCUCUCCAGCCAUCGAUUCGCACGCCACCGCAACGGCCGUCGUCGUCAUCGUCUCCGUCACCAACCGGUCUACAUUAUACCAACAUCCUGGUGGACGGACCUUCAGCCAAAUCAAAGCCUCAGGUUGUGAUAUUGUCCUGUCACAGCAGUACUAAUUGAACUACUGCUGCCGCGGGACAUGACCACUACCUAGGCGUCCACAUCGCUAAACCGCCCCAAGCUACCACACCGCCGCCGAUCAAUCCGCCAGCCAGCAAACUAGUGAACAGUGCAAACUCCCUUUAUGCCAAAUAACACACACACUCUCGCCGUAGCACUCACACACAAUCAUCCACAACAGCCAUCUAAUGAAAAACACAUCAAAACUCAGCCACACACACCAACAAAUGACCAAAUAAACACAAAAAACACUCAGUAAAAUUAAAACUAUAUGUAAGCGUAAUAGACAUGUAGACACACAUGUAAAUGGUUGUGUUUUGUAUUACUAUUUUUAAAUUAUUGAUUGCAAUGUUGCGCACCUAAAACUUUCUUUGUUUGCACCGCGCGCCGCCCUCGCGUUCCUUCCGGAACGACAGAGGCAGGCAGCGUCCUAAUUUCUAGAUAAGGCACACGUUUGCUUUCCAAACUCUGUAUCUCUUUUUGUAUCAAGUGUGUGUAAGCAGCAGCGAGCGCAUAGUUUUGAACAUAAUUAAAGUACAAGUUUACAACUUUUA
This is a long non-coding RNA of Dalotia coriaria, 758 nucleotides long. RefSeq lists it as uncharacterized. NCBI's taxonomy places the organism in Eukaryota, Metazoa, Arthropoda, Insecta, Coleoptera, Staphylinidae. The transcript has 2 exons. The record is from RefSeq and is a predicted model, not a curated record.